RNAcentral lists this ribosomal RNA (395 nucleotides) under uncultured bacterium. Its description in RNAcentral is "bacterial SSU rRNA". It matches the Rfam family "Bacterial small subunit ribosomal RNA", at positions 28 to 417 of the family's 1533-position model. The record is from RNAcentral.
GACGAACGCUGGCGGCGUGCUUAACACAUGCAAGUGGAGCGACGAGCCAGGCUUCGGCCUGGGGCAAAGCCGCGAACGGGUGAGUAUCACGUGGGUAACGUGCCCCGAUGACCGGGACAACCCGAGGAAACUCGAGCUAAUACCGGAUGUGUUGUUCAGCCUCAAGACUGAACAGCAAAGGAAGCUUCGGCCUCCGCAUUGGGAGCGGCCCGCGGCCCAUUAGCUUGNGGUGAGGUAACGGCUCACCAAGGCUGUGAUGGGUAGCUGGUCUGAGAGGACGAUCAGCCACACUGGGACUGAGACACGGCCCAGACUCCUACGGGAGGCAGCAGUGGGGAAUCUUGCGCAAUGGGCGAAAGCCUGACGCAGCGACGCCGCGUGAGGGAUGACGGCCU